RNAcentral lists this ribosomal RNA (393 nucleotides) under Triticum aestivum (bread wheat). Its description in RNAcentral is "partial small subunit ribosomal RNA". The record is from RNAcentral. Lineage: Eukaryota; Viridiplantae; Streptophyta; Magnoliopsida; Poales; Poaceae.
AUGAAGGAGUUCAUCGCCGAGGUCGCAAGUAUUGGCCGCCUUCGACACCGCUACCUAGUGCAGUUGCUUGGAUAUUGCCGGCGUGAACAUGAGCUCAUUCUGGUGUACGAGUACAUGCCGAAUGGUAGUCUUGAUAAGUACCUGCAUUGUGGAGAGGACAAGCCGACGCUUGACUGGACCCAGAGGUUUGGCAUCAUCAAUGGGAUAGCAUGUGGCUUGUGGUAUCUACACGAGAAAUGGGAAAAAGUUGUCAUUCAUAGAGACAUAAAAGCAAGCAAUGUGCUCCUUGAUGGUGAAAUGAAUGGACGGCUCGGUGAUUUUGGCCUUGCAAGGUUAUAUGAUCAUGGUACCGAUCUACAAACCACACAUGUGGUUGGCACCAUGGGUUACUAG